UUCCCCGGGGUCUGUGUCUGCUUACAUUUUCUCUUCUAUACUUUUCACCUGUAGUCUGACCUGGGCUUUUCCCUAACAGAGGUGACCUCACAGGAGGCUGAUCCAUCUGCCUUCUGGUUUCCCAGAUCAUAAUUACGCUGUAAUUGAAAUUGUGCUUCAUGGUAACUUGAAGUCAUCAUGUUCCAGACUGCCUGUAACACCUCAGUGUAGAUACAAGCACCAUUAUGCUGAUCUCAGAAAUCUGGCAUCGUCCAUUCAUCCUACAUCUUCAUUUCAGUGGACUCAUGUUAUUUAUCCGUGAACCCCCAGAUACUGAACCAUUGCCUUGAAAGCCAUCUUCCUACUUAUAGUUGACCCUUCAACAAGCAUAGGGUCUCUUCAUUUUUUUUCUGAAGCUUUAUUAUCUCUGACUCAGUCUGUGGCCAGACUAGAGCCAGGAACCAUUUAUUCUCAAGACUCAAAAGGCUGAUGAUGACUGCUGUGGAAAAAUACUACCUUCCCAAAAGCGCUUAUGGAUUUAAAGAUCAUCUUAAAUAUACAGAAGCAGAAACACGUGAGCUGAAAUAUAAAGGAAGAGAAAUAUUAAGUGUUUUUGAAAUUUGUACGAAAAAUUAAACAUGCAGAUGGAUAAAGUGACCCAGUGAAUGCAGCUGUUUAAUAUGGUGGAGUGGAGUGAUUGAUUGCUGCUUGCUGGAGCCCAGGGCUGAAAGCUAUUUAGCCAAGCUGAGCAACAUGAAUUGUCUUAUUACACGACUACAACAAUUUGUGCCCUCAAAUUUUUCUUCCUACACUUUAUGAACACCACAAAGAGAACACAAGUCUACAGCAUGACUUUUUAAAUCCAUUUCUACUCUAGUUUCACACACUGCGGUUUCCCCCAGGUUUCUCAUUUCCGAAGCUUCCUGAGAGCUUUCCCCAGACCCAGUCUGGGCCCUGUUUUUGUUUGUUUGUUUGUUUGGUUGUUUUAUUUCUACCACUUUCCUUCUGAAUGUGCAUGACACAAGUUCAGGAGAAACAAUCUGGAAAAAGAGGCUUUUCCUCAGAUGGCAGAAGGCAUUGGGAGACACUCAGAAAGAAAUGGCAAAUCCUCUCCAGCAAGCAGGAAUGAGACAAUGGCGGGGAACAUUCAUAUGCGUGAUUUAUCUAUAUUAGUAAAUUGGACCAGAGUGAACCAAGUAUGAGAAAUAGGUUAUACCAGACAAGAGGAUCAAAGUGAGGUACGGGAUAAGUUGACGUAUACUGUAUAAGUUUAAUCUUUGGUCUGAUAAACUUUACCUCACUCCAUUUUUUUUUUUAAUUUAUUUAGAGA
Long non-coding RNA from Herpailurus yagouaroundi (jaguarundi), 1309 nucleotides. RefSeq lists it as uncharacterized. The transcript has 4 exons. NCBI's taxonomy places the organism in Eukaryota, Metazoa, Chordata, Mammalia, Carnivora, Felidae. The record is from RefSeq and is a predicted model, not a curated record.